This 27-nucleotide non-coding RNA is filed under the name Mus musculus (house mouse). The record is from RNAcentral. Lineage: Eukaryota; Metazoa; Chordata; Mammalia; Rodentia; Muridae.
ACUGCUUUUCCACAGAUUUCUUUGCCA